Molecule: non-coding RNA, 404 nt
Organism: Danio rerio (zebrafish)
Lineage: Eukaryota; Metazoa; Chordata; Actinopteri; Cypriniformes; Danionidae
Source: Ensembl
GCUUAAUAACUAUUAAUAAGCAGCAAAUUAGGAGUUUGUUAAGCUAAAAGUAAUUUAUUAAUAGCAAUAAAUUGCAAACAAUUGUACCUUUAAAAAAUAAAGUGUUACCAAACUUUUAAAUGUAUGUUUUGGUAAUUACUGUGCAUAUUUGGUACUAAAAAUUAAACAAAAUAAUAGUAUAAUACAAAUUAGCAAAUGAAAAAUAUAUAUAAACUGUGAAUAAAUAUUACCAAGUACAGUACUGUAUUAAGUGGGAAAUCCUUAGCACUACAAUGUAAUGCAAUAUAAUCUAAACAUUUUUAUAAAUUCAGAUUUAUUCAUUUUUCACUGUUGAAAUGAGAACAAACAAGAUAAACCAAGUAUUAAAAAUAAAAUAAUAAUACACAAAACAAGCUUAAAACUUG